GUGGAUUAGAUACCCUGGUAGUCCACACUGUAAACGAUGAAUGCUAGGUGUGGGUCCGAAAGGAUCCGUGCCGCAGCUAACGCAAUAAGCAUUCCACCUGGGGAGUACGGCCGCAAGGUUGAAACUCAAAGGAAUUGACGGGAGCCCGCACAAGCAGUGGAGUAUGUGGUUUAAUUCGACGCAACGCGAAGAACCUUACCAGGACUUGACAUCCCAGGAACCCGGCGUAAUGGCUGGGGUGCCCUUCGGGGAAUCUGGAGACAGGUGGUGCACGGUUGUCGACAGCU
RNAcentral lists this ribosomal RNA (287 nucleotides) under uncultured bacterium. RNAcentral describes it as "partial 16S ribosomal RNA". It matches the Rfam family "Bacterial small subunit ribosomal RNA", at positions 773 to 1060 of the family's 1533-position model. The record is from RNAcentral.